GCUUUCAUCACAACGUACGAGGGAAAGCACAACCACGACAUGCCACUGAGGAACGCGAACACAGGAGCAUCCGAAAAGGAUACAAUCAAAGAAAAGCCAUAAAUGAGUGAUAACAUCGAACUCAAACUUCGGCAUCAAACUGUUUCAACCUCAUGUUUUGUCUGACAGAAAUGUCAGACGGGCUCGGAGAAAAAAUCAGACACCGAAAAUAAUUUGCUGCAGUGAUUCUGAUUCCCACCUUGGAUGGUCUGCUCUGCAAUGCUAAUAAUUUCACUUGGGAAUCUCUUUGAUGGCUGCUUGAUGGAUUUGGAGACAUAAAAUGGUGAAAAUAUUUUUGCUAAUUUUCCCUCCUGUUGCUGCUUCCUUCAAUUAGCACAUCAGAGUAUUACAUUUUUUUUCUUUUCUAUUAAUUGUAAUCCACUGGGAAAUUUCACAUAACAAAACUUUGUUAGAAAUGUUAAUGGCAGUGAUUAGGUUGAUGACUUGAUAAUACUCCUCCCAAUAAGCACAAGGAUGAUAGAGAAUAAAGUUUUAAGGAUCAUUCAAUUCCCAGUGGGUAAUACUUGUGUGUUAUAUUUGUUAUUAGAUUAUGUUGUAAACUAUAGCUUUGAAAUUUUGGAUACUUUUAAGCGAUAUUGGGGACGGGGGAUUGAACUCGAACCUUGGUGUCCGAGUGAAUGUUUCUAAUUACUUGAGCUGCAAAUCCUUUGCGAAUCCAAAUCCCUUCUCUCUUCUGAUCCACUAUCUUCUCUCUCUUACCUCUGUCAGCUCACCAAGGAGUUGAUGGUUGCCCUUUUUUCCUUUUUAAUUGUGAAUGCCUAAAAUAAUUUUGAAUUUAUACUAGACAAGUUUUGAAGUGUUAUUAAAAAAAUUUCUCAAGAAUGUUCUUAAGAAAUAUUUUUUAAAAAAAAAAGUUGAAUUUUUCUUUGUAGGAUACCUAGCGGGCCUUAAGUUUCAUAUUAUCCAAAGCUAUUAAUGUGAACUUGGAUAAUCUUGUAGAAUUGUAUCUUGUAAAAUCGUAGAUCAUGUGUCAAAUAUAAAUUAGGCCAAUAGUACUCAAGGACUUCAUUUUCUAUCAGUAGUAAGGUAACGAUUUUCGCCCUCUCAUUUCAUCAAUUUGCACUCCAUUUUAUUUUGUGCUUCGAUAAUUGAGCAAAUAAAGGAGCAUCAAAGCAUAAAAAUAAGGAGAGUAGGUGCAAAUGGACAGAUUUAGAACGUCAAGAACGUCAACAAUCUACACUUUGCCGAAUACACAUAAGUGACUCAUUUAAAAGCAUAAAAGCAAAGAGACUCCUCAAACUCAUUUCCAUAAUCAAAAUACUUAAAAAAACACCAUUUUGAUGAAGAAAGAACUCAGAAUCCAACUGUUAUUGCACUAAUGACCUUUCCUGUGCAAUUCAAUUUUGAAGUGUUUCUAAUUUAUAUUUGUGGAGAUAUAAAUUAACCAAAUCCAAUAGAAGAAUGACACGUGGAUAAUAUGCUCAAUAUGACAAAUUUUUCCUUAACGUUAUGAGUAGACCAUAAAAUUACUCUAAAGAAAUAAGACGUAAUCUACUCUACCACUAACGAAGAUAACCCCUUCAACAUCUCAAAAAUGUGUUCUACGUUGUUGAAAGCUAGAUCCAUAGAACAACUUUCCUUGUCCGAGACAUCUUAUGUGAAUGAGUUACAUGAGCAUGUCGCCCAUGACAUACAUUAUGGGCUCUUUGGACAAUACGUACGGUUAGUGGGCAAUACACAUUUAGUAAUGGUGUGUCAGGGACCAAUCUUUUUAAUGUCAGUGCGCAAUUUGUGCUUACCGACAGGGACUUUGCUUUGGAAUUAUCCUAGCAGGACAGUGGGCCUACAACAUUUAGAAAUGCUUUCCUUUGCAGGCCUUUGAGUUUUAAGCAGGAAUCCUUAGAACUGGGCCUUCAGUUCCUUAGUAAAUCAUGUAAUCCUUUUUUAGGUCUUUCUUAAAUUGACGUCAAGAACGGUAACUGCCACUUAACUCACUAUAUCCCUCAAGUUUUAUUUUCUCUCUAUAUUUCUUCUGACUUGAGACUAUAGCACAUUUGGCUCUUUGGUAGACACCUCUCCCUUUUUUUCAAAGUGUUCAUCAAUUAAGCUAACUAUAUUUGUUCUCUUGUAAAAUUUUUGUCAAAAUUAGUCAGAACAUGGUUAAAAAUUUAUAUAACAAUAUUAUAAUUGUUAUAAAUGGUUAACAAAAGUUUUUUUUUAACACGUACCAAACUCUAAUAUGUGUACAAAUAGUUAAAUUGAUUUUUCAACUGAACCGCAGGAAAUGUGACACUUCAAGUCUUCAAGCUUGCUGAUAGAUCUAAAAUAAGCUUUAGAUAUUUGGCCCAUCGCCCAUCUUGGAUAUUGUAAUGUAGAAUUCAAACCGACAUUUGACCACCUCAUUACUUUUCAUGUGUCAUCUUUUCCACUUCUUAAUUUUAAUCACUCUUUGGAAGUUUUCUGUUGUCCUAACCGUAACUCACGCAUCCUCUGCCUUUGCUGGUAUGUUAUGGGUUCAUAUUAAAUUGUCAAUUCAUUCUUCUUCUAAAAUUCUUUCAUGUUUUGGAGUAUGGAAUAUCCGAGGUGUUGUAAUUUUUAAAUUUUAAUUUUUGUAUUUCCAAAUAAACAUCUAACAGCGAAAACAUUAGGAGUAUCCCAUACUCCAGAGUACUGUGAAAAAUCUCAAUUUUGUUUGAUAAUUCCAUCACUUCAUGAAGAGUCAUUUUUUCAUUCCUGUAAAUCAUUGUCUGCCAUAUAGAGAGAGUUCGUAAAGAAACCGCAAAUAGAAAUUUUUUUUGCCCGCAUAUUAAACUGUUAACAUGAAUGCAGAAACGCCUACUUCCAUGACAACAAGUUAGGUAUUAUCCUUUUUUACAUUGCAGGCUUGACUUAUUAACAUGAUUCUGCAGUGAACAUGGGAUCAGAGGUAUUCUUUGUACUCUUCAAAAAGUUAUGAGAAGCGACUGCGAAGCCAUAAUUUGUCGGAGGAGUCCGGACGGUGACCGACCAAGGUCAAAGGUUUAUGAAUUUGUGGCAUAAAUAACUUCGUUGAGAAGACCAAUAUUUGCAUUAGCACUACACACCACACGAUGCCAUAUGGAACUUCUUGCGUGACUUGGUCCAUAAAGUCAAUAGUCUCCAAGAACAAAGAGAUAUAAUCUAAUUUAUAAAGACUAUAUAUUCUAAUAAGAUGAGUGGUUAACUUAUUUCUUUCUCGCAUGGUUUUGUAGUUAUAGAGAUUAGGGCUGGGCACGGGCCGGGGCGAGCCGGGCCGAACCUAAGUUUGUAGGAACCGGAGCUUAAACGAAACGGGCCGGGACGGGGCGGGGAUUGGAUUUUCUUGUAUAGGAACCGGACAUUACCCGGCCCGGUUAAAACGGGCCGAUUCGGACGGGUCCACGGGUACCCAUUUUUUCUUUUAGCCAUAGAAGGGACGACCUCGUUGAGGUCGUCUUCCCCACCACAUACGAGAACAAGCAGCACAGCUGCACAACAAGCAAUAAAUGAAAGCCCAGAUGCAAAAACAACAAAUCAAACCCCUUUAAUCAUGCACACAGACAAAACCAACCACCAAACAAUGAUCAAAACAUCAAAAUUGAAAAGAAACAACAAUCAACAUAUAAACAGGAAAAAAAAAAAAACAGAACAUAACCCAGAACUCGCAAGGAUGAUACUGUCCUCGAUAGUGGUGGUUGUCGCGCCGGCGAUAGUGGUGGUGGGUGGUGGUUGUCGCGUCAUCUUCGUCGAUCUGGAGCCCACCAUCAUCGACGAGCUCGCUAUCGUCGUCGUGCCAUCAUCGUCCAUCUUCUAUCUCUACUAUCCCUCAGGUCCCUCGGAGCAUCUCCGAUCUGGAUUCUGGAGCCUCAUGUCAUCGUCGACGCCAUCUUCGACGACCGGAGUCGGGAGACAGAGACAUCAAGUUGGGAUUAGGAGAGAGAAAUGGAUCAAUUACCGUCUGAUUGAGAGGACUCGAGAGGACUCUGACAGAACGAAUCAGACAAAUUGAGAGAUAAAUGGAUCAAUUGCCGUCGGAUUCAAGCAUCGCCGACACCGCCUCAGUGUAAACCCUAGUUCUCAGGCCCACCUCGCGGUACCCUAGCUCAUCGACGGCGAAGCCUCAGUGUAAACCCUAGAUCGAGGUCUGAUGAUGAUGGUGGCGGCGAUAAAGGAGAUUCAAGGAGAUUUUGCAUGUUGGAAGGUUGAAGGAGAUUCAAGGAGGAGAGAUCGAGGGAGGAGAGAUCGAGAGAAUGGAAAGUUGAGGAAGUGAGUCUGAGAAUGAGAGUCUUGGGAGUCUCGGACAAGAAUAAGAGAGAGAGAGAGAGAGAGAGAGAGAGAGAGAGAAGGUGAAAUCAAUGGUAGGAAAUCAACGUAGGAAAUCAAGGUAGGAAUCAACGGUCCGGGCCGGGGGCCCGUAUUUUCCCAUUUCUGUACCCGCCCCGCCCCGCCCCCUUUUGAAUUUACAAUAUCUGUACCCGCCCCGUACCCGCCCCGUACCCGCAUUACCCGCCCCUACCCGCGGGUCCAGGACCCGUUUGCCCAGCCCUAAUAGAGAUCAUAGAAGUAUUUGAUUCAUGGUAUAUGUGUUCUGUUUUUUGAGUUUCGUAAUUGUCUAAUAUGAUAUCAAAGUUUUGAUCUUGUGGUUAUAGCUCAUCUUGAUAUUUGAUUCAUGAUUUGUGAAGUUUUUUGAGAUUAGUGGUUGUUUAGCAUGACAUCAAAGGUCCUAUUUUCAGAGAUCUUUGAUUUUUCAUAUACAUACACGAGAGAAAGGAUUUUAGCUUUAUAUACGUUGUUGACUUAUCAUUCCAAUUUAAAUUUUGGAGUUCGGCUAUCUAACUAUAUAUAAGCAUAAAGGUAUUCUUUACUAGCUACUUAGUAUUACGGUCUAGUUGUAUUCUUGUUUACUUGUAAUUGAGAGGUUUUAAAUUUGAUUUUCGCUAAAAGUUAAUUUGAACCACAUUAUUAUGAUUUCCUGACUCUAGUACUUAUCCUACGUCAUAGUAUGAUUUUUUUUUUUUUUUUUUUUUUUUUUAUUUUUUAUAUGUGUUAUUGUACAUUAGAGUCCUCGCUAUUCCUCCGCUCGAUCUGCAACUACGCCUCCUCCGCGCCGUCCGUGAUACCGCCGCCUCCUCGCCGUCCGCGAUAACGCCACCUCAUCCGUCUGUGACAACGCCUCAUCAUCCUCUAUUCUGUUGCGUCUUCUGGUUUCUCAGGGCAAGCAAAUAAAGGUAUUUGCUUAAAUAGUGUGAUUCUGCUUGCCAGGGUUUCUAGUUAGGGCUAAUGGAAAUUUACGAUUUAGGCAGUGAUUAAGUAGUGUAAUUUUAAUUGGGUUGAUGGGUUUUCUGUAUUUCAUUUGGGAUCUGAGAACCGGUCCUGCUGGUGUCUAAAGUAAUGGUAUUGAUUUGUUGGGUUUUAAAGGCUAGGUCUUUUCUACUGAUUUAGAACUGCAAGAGGUUUCUGGGGUUUGAUUAUCCAAACCGAUUUUUCAAAUCUGUUUAUUUUGAUUCUUCUUCCAGCCCAGAAUUCGUGGCCGGCAAUCCAUAUUACGAUUGGAAUUAAUUUUUUCCUAGUUAUUAGAAUUAGCUCUUGAUGAUUUAAUAUGUAUGCCUUUCGUCUAUUCCAUCGAACUGAAACUUUGCAUAUGAUGUUGUUUGGUUGGCUUUGUAUUGUUAUAGGCUGUUCAGCUAUUGCACUUUUGGUAUUAGUAGGAUGAAACUGAUUUUGGGUUGUAAAGGGAAAGGGAAAUUGCUGAACUACAAUGCUUUGGAAAACACCGAACUGGAUUUGCCAUUUUCGCUAUCGAGUGCGGUCAGUAAACGAGAAUGUUAAAGGCAAAAAAAAUAAAAAUAAAAAAAAACGAGACGAACCUGAAUCGAACUGAAAAAAUAAAACUGAAUUGCAAUAAACCUGAAAAAUCGAAUCUAAUCAAACGGUAAAUUUGAUUCGAUUUUCGGUUUUGGCAAAAAACCGAACCGAUUGAAACCAAACUCAUCCCAACUUGAUUUCCCCUUCUGUCAAGGAACGUCAUGAGUGAGUCAAUCAAUAUUGCUGGUCAGUAAGUCGUCUUUCUUUUCCCUAUAGUUUUUAUUUUUAUUUUUUUCGCUUUCUUAUAAGGACUAUUAUUUAUUUUUCAUAAUUUGAUGUCGCUCUAAGUUCACGAUUGGGUUGUGACCGAUAAUGGAUUGUAUGAAUUUCACUUGUGUGAUUAACUGUAAUAGCAUAACUCCGCCUAUGUCUUACAUGGCCGGUCCCAAGCCCAGAUAAAGGAGGAGGGGGAGGGCGUCAGGUAGUCGACAGCCGGCACUCCAUGAUCACGUCGAAUCCUUAUGAAAAUGAAUCCAGAACAAAACCGCGCUAAAGUUAGGGCGUUACCCGUAAGUGGCGCGCUGUGUGGCCCGAGCACAGUGAUAAGUGAGCAAGGGUCGCUGUAUCUCCAUCGGCACCCGGAUGCAGUGUUAAAUGAGCAAGGGGGCCAUAUAAACUUCUUUUCGAACGACUCCACUCAAAGUUAUUUGGGAGCAUAUGCUCCUAUCAACUUUACCCGGGACACACAAAAGAAGUACUUUGAUCCUAUUAGACGGGGGAGGGUGAAGAAGCUAGGACAGAAGGGUAGAGUUCAAGAGAGCAAAAUGCGUUUAGGAACGUGGAAUAUAGGAACCUUAACGGGAAAAUCUAUGGAAGUAGUGGAAGUUAUGGUGAGGAGAAGGAUAAAUAUUAUGUGCCUACAAGAAACUAAGUGGGUUGGUAGUAAGGCAAAGGAUCUAGAAAACUCAGGGUUUAAACUUUGGUAUUCGGGCACAAAUAGAACGAGAAACGGUGUUGGCAUCAUCGUGGACAAGACCUUGGUACAAGAUGUUGUAGAUGUCAAGAGGGUAGGAGAUAGAAUCAUGGCAAUCAAGAUUGUAAUAGGACAAGAACUUAUCAAUGUGAUUAGUGCGUACGCACCUCAAGUAGGGUUGGAUACGAGUUCGAAGGAGAAAUUUUGGGAAGAUCUUGGAGACUUGGUGCAAGGAAUUGCUCAGACGGAGAAGUUAUUUAUAGGAGGAGAUUUAAAUGGACACGUGGGCAGGGAGACAGGCAACUAUGGAGGUUUUCAUGGUGGCCAUGGUUUUGGGGAGAGAAACGAGGAUGGGGAAGCUAUCUUGGAUUUUGCAAUGGCAUAUGAUCUCUUCUUAGCCAACACCUUCUUUAAGAAGAGAGAAGAACAUGUGAUCACCUACAAGAGUGGGUCGUCAAAAACACAAAUAGAUUUUCUUCUAAUGAGGAAAGGGGAUCGUAUAACUUGUAAGGAUUGCAAAGUUAUACCAGGAGAGAGCGUGGCUAAUCAACAUCGCUUGUUGGUGAUGGAUGUACAUAUCAAAAGAGUAAGACAAAAGAACAAGACUUGGAAGUGCCCAAGGACUAGAUGGUGGAAUCUAAAAGAAGAAAAACAAGCCAUUUUCAAAGAGAAGGUAAUCACCCAAUGUGUGUGUGGGAUAGAGAGGGGGAAGCUAGCCAAAUGUGGGAUUCCAUGGCUAGUUGUAUCCGAAAAGUAGCAAAAGAGGUAUUAGGAGAGUCCAAGGGCUUUGCCCCACACCAAAAGGAAUCUUGGUGGUGGAAUGAGGAGGUACAAACAAAGGUGAAGGCUAAGAAGGAAUGUUGUAAAGCCUUAUACAAGGAGAGGACCGAUGAAAAUGGUGAAAGGUAUAGAAAAGCGAAGCAAGAGGCGAAGAAAGCUGUCAGAGAAGCUAAGUUAGCGGCUUACGACGAUAUGUAUAAACGACUAGAUACCAAAGAAGGAGAGUUGGAUAUCUAUAAACUAUCUAGAGCAAGGGAAAAGAAGACAAGGGACCUAAACCAAGUGAGGUGCAUCAAGGAUGAGGAUGGAAAGGUUCUUGCUACAGAGAACGCGGUUAAAGACAGAUGGAGAGGUUAUUUUCAUAAUCUUUUCAAUGAAGGACAUGAAAUGAGUGCUUCUUUAGGGGAGUUGAGUAACUCAGAAGAGUGUAGAAACUACUCUUUUUAUCGUCGAAUCCGGAAGGAAGAAGUGGUUGUAGCUUUGAAGAAGAUGAAGCAUAAAAAAGCAAUAGGCCCAGACGAUAUACCAAUCGAAGUGUGGAAACUUUUGGGAGAGACAGGUAUAACAUGGCUCACUGACCUUUUCAAUAGGAUUUUGAAAACGAAGAAGAUGCCAAAUGAGUGGCGAACGAGCACUUUGGUGCCUAUCUACAAGAAUAAGGGCGACGUACAAAAUUGCAUGAACUAUAGGGGUAUUAAGCUAAUGAGUCAUACAAUGAAGCUCUGGGAGAGAGUCAUUGAGCAUAGAUUGAGGCAAGAGACACGGGUUUCGGACAACCAAUUCGGGUUCAUGCCAGGGCGCUCAACCAUGGAGGCAAUCUAUCUCUUACGAAGAUUGAUGGAAAGAUAUAGAGAUGGGAAAAAGGAUUUACACAUGGUCUUUAUAGAUUUGGAAAAAGCGUAUGAUAGGGUCCCAAGAGACAUUCUUUGGAGGAUUUUAGAGAAGAAAGGAGUACGAGUAGCAUAUAUCCAAGCUAUAAAGGAUAUGUAUGAAGGAGCAAAGACUGCCGUAAGAACUCAUGAAGGACAAACCGAAAGCUUUCCCAUAACUGUAGGAUUACAUCAAGGCUCAUCCUUAAGUCCUUACCUUUUUGCGUUGGUAAUGGAUGAGUUAACAGGACAUAUUCAAGAUGAUAUUCCUUGGUGUAUGCUUUUCGCAGACGAUAUAGUGUUGAUAGAUGAAACUCAGGAAGGGGUAAAUGCAAAGCUUAACCUUUGGAGAGAAGUGUUGGAAUCUAAAGGUCUUCGCCUAAGCCGAUCAAAGACAGAAUAUAUGGAGUGCAAGUUCAGUGCAAAUGGAGGCCAAAACGAGUUAGGGGUGAGGAUCGGAGAUCAAGAAAUACCAAAGAGCGACCGUUUUCGUUACCUAGGAUCUAUCUUGCAAAAGAACGGAGAAUUAGAUGGAGAUCUCAACCAUAGAAUACAAGCUGGAUGGAUGAAGUGGAAGAGUGCAUCCGGCGUGUUUGUGUGACCGCCGUAUGCCACUGAAGCUCAAGGGAAAAUUUUAUAGGACGGCAAUAAGGCCGGCGAUGCUGUAUGGCACAGAAUGUUGGGCGGUGAAACAUCAACACGUACACAAAAUGGGUGUAGCGGAGAUGAGGAUGCUUCGUUGGAUGUGUGGGCACACGAGAAAGGAUAAGAUUAGGAAUGAGGAUAUCCGGGGUAAAGUAGGAGUAGCCGAAAUUGAAGGAAAGAUGAGAGAAAAUCGGUUACGGUGGUUUGGACAUGUGCAAAGAAGGCCUACUGACGCUCCGAUUAGAAGAUGCGACUAUGGACAGAGGUUCAGGGCCGAAGGGGUAGAGGAAGACCUAGGAAAACUUUGGAAGAGAGACUCUAAGAAAAGACUUAGAGUACUUGGAUCUAACGAAGGACAUGACACAGGAUCGAGCACAAUGGCGUUCUAAGAUUCAUAUAGCCGAUCCCACUCAGUGACUUGGAUUUUCCAAGUCUCCAACCGAGAAGUUUUCCUCACUCGGGAAAUUAAGGGAACACUACCCCAACCUACAUGCUCUACUCAGAAAGCUUCAACAUACAAGCUUCAACAAAAAAAAAUUCAAAGAACUUAGCGAAGAAGGCUUUGGUGUAUUUAACACAAUACGUUGAAAUGAAGGAAAGCUUAUUUAUUGAUAUCCCCGAUAAGCUACAAAUAUGUACAUAUACAUGAGUCAAAAUAAACAACACAAGAGGGAGCCUUCACAAAGGUUGCUUAGGAGAAGUCUCAGCAGUCGGUAGAGCCCCAGAAAGAGAAGGCACCGGAGGGGGAUCAUUUGGAGCCUCAGUACUGGACAGAACCCUAGAAGGAGGAGGCAUCAGAGGUUGAUCAUUUGGAGCUUCAUUACGCGGUACAGCCCCAGAAGACGAAGGCAAUAAAUGCCUUUGGAACAAACCCACAAAUCUCUGAUGAUCAAGUAAAACCUGACCAUCAGUUUCCUUCAUCUGGUCAAGCUUCCUCUUCAUGUUUGUAGCAUAGUCAUGUGCGAGCCGGUGCAACUGUUUAUUCUCAUGCUUGAGCCCUCUAAUCUCCUGUUUGAGACUCAUCACUUCAGCCGCCAAUGAUUCAACUUGGCGGGUUCGAGCAAAUAGGCGUUGGGCCAUAUUAGACACAGAACCUGCACACUGAACACUGAGAGAGCCAGCGAAUCCUUAACAGCUAACUCAUCAGACCGUUUGGAAAGUAGUCUGUUAUCUUUGGGAGUGAGAAGGUUCCUGGCCACCACCGCAGCGGUCAUAUCAUUCUUCAUCACGGAAUCCCCAACGGUAAGAGGACCAGUAGGGGAGACGAAGGAUGGGCGCCAUAUGUUGUCUGGAGAAGGCGGGGCUGCCUCUUCAACAAGGUUCAAGUCAAAACGACGGUCGGAGGGGCCAGACAUUUUCAAAGGUGUUGAAGAGAGAAGAGGUCGGACAAAUCAAGAUCUUAGAAGUGCAAGAAUGAAGCUUCUACUGGUGGAGAUUCAAGUGUGCUUUGGAACUUAAUGCCAGCCCCUAUAAAAAAAUCUGCACUCGACGGAGCUUCAGAAAUCGAAGAGGCGCCUGCUCAGAAAUCGAAGAGGCGUUUGCUUUCUCAAAAGCUGGGCUGCUUAGAGAUCACGAGGGUUGAUCUCAGAAAUCGAAGAGGCGUUUGCUUUCUCAAAAGUUGGGCUGCUCAAAGACCACGAAGGCCGAUCUCAGAAAUCGAAGAGGCGCUCGCUUUCUCAAAAGCUGGGCUCCCCAGAGACCACGAGGGCCGAUCUCAGAAAUCGAAGAGGCACCUACUUUUCCAGCCUUGUCAGCACCUGUCACACGCACACUCAGCUUUGCGGAAAUUAUGGGCAUUCUGUCGAAGACUUCUGGGGAAGUAGAAAACACAUGAAUCUUACUGUUCAAUCACCCACUUCCCACACGCAACAAUAGCUCAUGGGUACCACAGAUAACUUUGCCAAAGUUCUCUGCCAAAGUUGAGCACGUGAAGCUUGCAGCUCCCACUACAUCGCUCUGACCAAGAAGGGUAAAAGAAUAGCAAAGAAACAGCACUAACAAAGUUUAGACCCAUAAAUUUUGAAGGUCUAGCUACCAUAUUAUUACCCACAAGGGUAAAGGAACAGUACCACUGCUGGAUAAUUGGAAAGUCCCUGUGUGUCAACCUCUGUGCUUCGUGGCAAGGUAGACUAGCAAACAUGCCCAACCUUUACUCACAUUCGAGAAAACACACUCCCAAUAAGAUUGCUUGCUCCAAAAUCGAAGAGGCACCGUCCUCCGAAUCUCGAGAGCCAGACUCCCAACAUGACUACUUUCUUAAAAAUCGAAGAGAGGGUAAAGGAACAGUACCAUUGCUGGAUAAUUGGAAAGUCCCUGUGUGUCAACCUCUGUGCUUCGUGGCAAGGUAGACUAGCAAACAUGCCCAACCUUUACUCACAUUCGAGAAAACACUCCCAACAAGAUUGCUUGCUCCAAAAUCGAAGAGGCACCGCCCUCCGAAUCUCGAGAGCCAGACUCCCAACAUGAUUACUUUCUCAAAAAUCGAAGAGACACUGCUCCCCGAAUCUUCGAGAGCCAGACCCCCAGCAUGAUUGCUUUCUCAAAAAUCGAUGAGGCAUCGUUCUCCGAAUCAAUCGAAGAGGCGCUCGCUUUCUCAAAAGCUGGGCUGCUCAGAGACCACGAGGGCCGAUCUCAGAAAUCGAAGAGGCACCUACUUUUCUAGCCUUGUCAGCACCUGUCACACGCACACUCAGCUUUGCAGAAAUUAUGGGCAUUCUGUCGAAGACUUCUGGUGAAGUAGAAAGCACAUGAAUCUUACUGUUCAAUCACCCACUUCCCACACGCAACAAUAGCUCAUGGGUACCACAGAUAACUUUGCCAAAGUUCUCUGCCAAAGUUGAGCACGUGAAGCUUGCAGCUCCCACUACAUCGCUCUGACCAAGAAAGGUAAAAGAAUAGCAAAGAAACAGCACUAACAAAGUUUAGACACAUAAAUUUUGAAGGUCUAGCUACCAUAUUAUUACCCACAAGGGUAAAGGAACAGUACCACUGCUGGAUAAUUGGAAAGUCCCUGUGUGUCAACCUCUGUGCUUCGUGGCAAGGUAGACUAGCAAACAUGCCCAACCUUUACUCACAUUCGAGAAAACACUCCCAACAAGAUUGCUUGCUCCAAAAUCGAAGAGGCACCGUCCUCCGAAUCUCGAGAGCCAGACUCCCAACAUGACUACUUUCUCAAAAUCGAAGAGAGGGUAAAGGAACAGUACCAUUGCUGGAUAAUUGGAAAGUCCCUGUGUGUCAACCUUUGUGCUUCGUGGCAAGGUAGACUAGCAAACAUGCCCAACCUUUACUCACAUUCGAGACAACACUCCCAACAAGAUUGCUUGCUCCAAAAUCGAAGAGGCACCGCCCUCCGAAUCUCGAGAGCCAGACUCCCAACAUGAUUACUUCCUCAAAAAUCGAAGAGACACUGCUCUCCGAAUCUCGAGAGCCAGACCCCCAGCAUGAUUGCUUUCUCAAAAAUCGAAGAGGCAUCGUUCUCCGAAUCUCGAGAGCCAGAUACCACAGACCACUUUUUCAAAGUGCUCUGACAGAGUUAAAACAUGUGAAACUGGCAGCUCCCACUACCGUGCUAUGACCAAGCAGGGUAAAGGAAUAGCAUUACUACUUGUUGUUAGGGAGACUCCUAUAUAUGUCGACCUCCAUCCCCAACGGACAGGCAGACCUGCAAAAAUGCUCAACCCUUCAUCAUAUCUGAGAGGGCACUCCCAACGAAGCCUUUCGAAAUAUUCAGCUUUCUUUCCCCCCGAUAAUACCUCUGCAAACAAGCUAUACUAGAGCAAGAAUAUCUCUCAUAUCAUCAGGGUUAAAAGCAAGAGUAUCCCAUAUCAUGCUUUUUCCCUGUCUUUUCCUUUGGCCUUGUUUUUACCUGCAAGACAAGGAGAAAGAGAGCAAUCAGUCAGCACUUGGAAUCAAGCUUCCAGCCAGGAACUGACUGCCUGGAACCCCUUACCUGAUUACUUACCUGGCAUUGCUCUCGAGUACUCAUCUUCAACAUCUUAUGUUUCCAGGGAAGAUUCCGCAUCUGCUUGAGGAACAGAUAGGGCAAGUGCGAAGGAUACAAGGAAGCAUGUGGAGACAAGCGUAACAGCACACGUGCCGAUACAUCCAUUACUCUGUCAAAAGCAAAAGUAUCCCAUAUCAGCAGGGUGGAACGUACUCUAGAUUUGAUGGACUUGUUUUGACCCUCAAAUUCUUCAGUCGGCCUUAUACUCUGGAGGAAACCAGAAAACCCUCCAGCUCAGUUCAAGAAUAAGCCUGUGGAAAGUUACUUCUUCAAAAGCAAAAGUAUCUCAUAUCAUCUCUUCUCAUUUUUCUUCUCUUUAUCCUUCAUGCUGCUGCUGCAAGAUGGGGAGAAGGUGAACAAUCAGUCGGAGCUCUGAUUGCUUACCUUGUCUGUCACCUCUUUCAGCAGACCCCCUAGCUCGGCGACUUGGGGGACUCCUACUACAUGGUUUGUAUCGCGCUUGACCAAGCCUGAAACUACAAGUAAGCUUCAAGUGAAAUUGAUACAUUACCUUGUGCAUCUCCACCAGUUAAAGAUACCACCCCUGGAUGGAGGAAGAGUACUUCCAGAGAAGAUGCCACAUCUACCUAUGAGACAGAUAAGGCAAGUCAAGACGACACCACACUCCGAUACUUAGAAGUUUCGUGAUUACGAGAUCAUUCUCCCACAAUAUUUCCUAAUGUCAUUUGUACUAAAUCAUUCACUUGUACUCACUAAAGGAGAGCUUGAACCUAUGUACUUGUGUAAACCCUUCACAAUUAAUGAGAACUCUUCUAUUCCGUGGACGUAGCCAAUCUGGGUGAACCACGUACAUCUUGUGUUUGCUUUCCUAUCUCUAUCCAUUUAUAUACUUAUCCACACUAAUGACCGGAGCAAUCUAGCGAAGAUCACAAAAAGCGACCGUUUUCGCUACCUAGGAUCUAUCUUGCAAGAGAACGGAGAAUUAGAUGGAGAUCUCAACCAUAGAAUACGAGCUGGAUGGAUGAAGUGUAAGAGUGCAUCCGGCGUGUUGUGUGUGACCGUCGUAGGCCACUGAAGCUCAAGGGAAAAUUUUAUAGGACGGCAAUAAGGCCAGCGAUGUUGUAUGGCACAGAAUGUUGGGCGGUGAAGCAUCAACACGUACACAAAAUGGGUGUAGCGGAGAUGAGGAUGCUUCGUGGGAUGUGUGGGCACACGAGAAAGGAUAAGAUUGGGAAUGAGGAUAUCCGAGGUAAAGUAGGAGUAGCCGAAAUUGUAGGAAAGAUGAGAGAAAAAAUCGGCUUCCGGUGAUUUGGACAUGUGCAAAGAAGGCCGACUGACGCUCUGGUUCGAAGAUGUGACUACGGGACAGAGGUUCAGGGUCGAAGGGGUAGAGGAAGACCUAGGAAAACUUUGGAAGAGACUCUAAGAAAAGACUUAGAGUACUUGGAUCUAACGGAGGACAUGACACAAAACCGAGCGCAAUGGCGUUCUAGGAUUCAUAUAGCCGACCCCACUUAGUGGGAAAAUGCUUUGUUGUUGUUGUUGUUGUUGUUGUUGUUAUUCAAAAAUCUCCACGGUUCAAACUGUUGCAGAAACCCAAAAUAAUUGAAUUAUUAUAUCUUGAUAAAUUAAACCUAUAUCUAUAAUAUUUAUUACUAUCUCCUUCAAUGACAAAAAGAAGGAGAAAGUUGAUUCUUUGUCAAAGUUUUUGAAAGAAGGUAUUUUUUUUCUAUAAUUUAUAGGAAUACUUUGGAUAUAUUAAAGUUAAACCCUUGAACAUUGAGGAAAAGAUCACAUAAAUCAAAGACCACCCCAUCAAUGGAAGCCACAUAUAAAGUGAUAUACAGUCUUUGUGCUUUCUAUGAUGAAAACAAUACUGUUGGUCAAAUCUUUUACUAUUGUGAAAAUGUUCACUUAACUUUAGCAAAAUUUAAGAAAUGAUCUUUCAAUUAAAAAUCUGUGAGUAUUGAUCUCUUAACUCAUUAAAAUGUGUCGUUAUAAUUAUUUUCGUUUUGGUCUCCCAACUUUAACCCAAUUAGAAAAAUGGUUCUUCAACUUUAACUCAAUUAAAGCAAUGGUCCCUCAAUUUUAACCCAAUUGUAGAAAUGGUCCUUCCAACAUGACUCAAUUUAAUGAAAUUCUAAAGGAGUUGACGAAAAAGACUAUAACUGCAUGUUUUGUUGAGUUAAGAGACCAAUGAUUAUGAAUUUUUAGUUCAGAAACCAUUACUCUAAUAUGAUUAAAAUUAAAGAACCGUUAUUAUAAUGUUCUCCUUACUUAAAUUUAGUGUUAGAUUCUCAAAUGUAUCUCAUACCACAAAAGCAUAAAAAAAAAAAAAAUUGGUGGAAUCGAAAAUGUGCUUACUUCUAAGUUCCCAAACAAGGAAUUUAUAUAAUCUAAACGAACGUGACCAACACCAUCAAAUCAAAGUCACAUUAACAAAAUGCAAUUCUAUAGAUUUUAUAUUGAUCAUACAUAGUGUGUACCAAAUGGAGGGUCCUAAAUUAGCCAUUUGUGACCAGCUGUGAUCUUUUGACUGUGACUAAAAAUUGAAAGGAAAAGUUAAAUAAACUCCACAUAAAGUUUCCACACACGUAACACAGAAAGUCUUCUGUUAGAUCUAAAUACUCCAAGUCAUUUCUUUUAGAAUCUCUUUUCAAGUCUUCGUAAGUUUUCCUCUACCCUUUUGGCCCUGAGCCUUAGUCUCGUAAUCGCAUAUUUUAACCGGAAUGUUUGUCGGUCUUCAUUUCACAUUCAAACCACCUUAAUCGAUUUUCUCUCAUGUUAUCUUCAAUAUCGGCUACUCCUACUUUACCUCGGAUAUCCUCGUUUCUAAUCUUAUCCUUUCUUGUGUGCCCACACAUUCAAUGAAGCAUUUUUAUCUCCUCUGCAUUCAUUUUGUGUACGUAUUGAUGCUUGACCGUCCAACAUUCCAUGCCAUAAAACAUUACUGGCCUUAUUGCUGUCCUAUAAAAUUUUCCCUUAAGCUUUAGUGGCAUACAACGGCUACACAACACACUCGAUGCACUCUUUCACUUCAUCCAUCCAGCUUGUAUUCUAUGGCUUAAGUCUUUCAUCCAAUUCGAUAGCAAAACCGUUUGUAUCCAUUUUCUUGCCUCUACCCUUCUCCGUGGUUGACCUUAACCGUUUGGAUUAAAAUGCGAUCAAAAUAUCUUGAUUCUUGAUGAGCAUUUCUAUCAUAACACUCUCUGUUCAAGGUUAAUGUUAUUGACUAUGUUUAGCUAUGAUUUUCCUUCAGAAAAAGUGAGAAUCAAUCCAAUGAAGCAGGGAUAUCAGGGGAAGGUAUCCAAGAUCCCUGUGUUGUGGUGCAAAGUUCAGUUGAAUCUGAUAUGACGGGUGAUGGCUUCCGCUGGAGGAAGUACGGGCAGAAGGUUGUUAAGGGGAAUCCAUAUCCCAGGUCAGAAAGAAUGAAAAACUCUUCUUCCUUCUUUUUUUAGUAAAUGUAUCCACACCUCUUAGAGCAAUUGACUAAUAUUCCUCUUGCAUAUGCGCUCACCUGUCUCAUAUGUCUACCUCAAGCUCUUGGUCUUGUGAUUUUUUUCGUGUUGUCGGAUGUGGUUUCAAAUCUGAAUCCCCCAUUUUUGUUGAUUAAAAAAAAUUGGUAGCGAAUAAUCCUGUAUUCCUAACUCAAGACAUUACUUUUUAGAAUGAGGUCCUAAUCAAAUAUAUAACCAACCUCUAUGGAUUGUGUUAAGAUUCAGUUGAUUACGUUGUUCAUCAACUGCUGUUUGCAUUCAUGACAUCUGCAAUGGGACACAAGGUUCUUUGUGGCUAGCUGGUGCUUACUCCAUAACUUUUUCGAUCUUGCAGAAGUUACUACAGAUGUACCAGUCUCAAAUGCAAUGUGCGUAAGCAUGUCGAAAGAGUAUCGGAUGAUCCCAAAGCUUUCAUCACAACGUACGAGGGAAAGCACAACCACGACAUACCACUGAGGAACGCACACACAGGAGCAUCCGAUAAGGAUACAACUAAACAAAAGCCAUGAAUGAGUGAUAACAUCGAACUCAAACUUCGGCAUCAAACUGUUUCAACCUCAUGUUUUGUCUGACAGAAAUGUCAGACGGGCUCGGAGAUAAAAAUCAGACACCGAAAAUAAUUUGCUGCAGUGAUUCUGAUUCCCACCUUGGAUGGUCUGCUCUGCAAUGCUAAUAAUUUCACUUGGGAAUCUCUUUGAUGGCUGCUUGAUGGAUUAGGAGACAUAAUACUUUGUUAGAAAUGUUAAUGGCAGUGAUUAGGUUGAUGACUUGAUAAUACUCCUCCCAAUAAGCACAAGGAUGAUAGAGAAUAAAGUUUAAGGAUCAUUCAAUUCCCAGUGGGUAAUACUUGUGUGUUAUAUUUGUUAUUAGAUUAUGUUGUAAACCAUAGCUUUGAAAAUU
This 17430-nucleotide long non-coding RNA is filed under the name Malus domestica (apple). RNAcentral's name for it is "long non-coding RNA (MDOM_LNC011433)". The record is from RNAcentral. Lineage: Eukaryota; Viridiplantae; Streptophyta; Magnoliopsida; Rosales; Rosaceae.